RNAcentral lists this unclassified non-coding RNA (159 nucleotides) under soil metagenome. RNAcentral describes it as "partial internal transcribed spacer 1". The record is from RNAcentral.
AUGAGUUGCAAAACUCCAACCAUCGCGAAUGUAACCCAUUGCAGUUGCUUCGGCGGGUGGCCCUGAGAGGGGCCGCGCCCCCCUACGGGAGGCAUACCCGCCGGAGUCGUACAAACUCUUGUAUUUGUUGGCAUCUCUGAGUAAUUUUACAAUAAGUUA